Molecule: long non-coding RNA, 1087 nt
Filed under: Rhagoletis pomonella (apple maggot)
Lineage: Eukaryota; Metazoa; Arthropoda; Insecta; Diptera; Tephritidae
Description: uncharacterized LOC118750584
Source: RNAcentral
AUUUCUGUAUCGCAUCGCGGCGAGUUUCUAUUUCUUGGUAAUUCGGUUUGUGAAAUGACUAUUAAUUACAAGCACAGCAUCAUCAACGGUGAUUGCAAGGACUACUGCAAUCCCUGCGGUUUUUCCUCUUGGUAAAUGCGUUCUGGUCGUGACCAAGGGUGGUCUCCCAAUCGGCCGGGAAUAAGGCUAUUGUUGCAGAACAAAACGCCACAACCACCGCUGUGGUAAAUAUGUUCCAGCAGUACUGCCCACCGCCGUCGGUGUAAUGAUUUCGAUAGCUGAACAAACGCCAUCUCCUGGGCAUUCCCACAUGCCGACAAUAGCUAUUACAUAUAUCACGUGUGAAUGCAACUGCGGCUAAAUUUGGUUAUUAACAGUGCAAUAGUGCCAUGUCAUUGGCAAAAACACUAAGGGAUGCUGGCACAUAGAGGUUGUAAAGUUUUUGGAAUCGAUGAACUUACUCGAAGAAGACGAUGGUCGAAAACAUAUGAUGAAACAUCUUCUGGCGUGCCUUUGACAAUCAUUAAGUCAGACGGAGGCUUCACAUACGAUAUUUCACACAUGGCUGGAAUUCGUUAGCGGACAGAGCACACAUUUACCAAAUAUUUAUCGUUCUGCAGAACGUGCAUGCAUAUUCGAUUCCGAUUUAAUGGGUCGAUUACGGAGGACAACCGAACUUCAGUUGGUUGGCCAGUGGCUGAAAUGGUAUUACCGAUGGCAACUAGCAACUGAAAGCUGGAUAUUGGCACGAACUAAUCAAGGCUGUCAUAGAAUCCAUCAUAGUCCGAUUUUUCGUGAAAUCUACGAAAAUGCUAUUAAAUUCGAGUAGCUACGAACGCAGUGCUUGCUUUGAAUACACACGUUCAUAGCAGUUCAGAUUCAGUGAUCGCUUUUUUGUAGAUUUUAUGAAAAAUCGGACUACGAUGGAUUCCGCCACCAAUAUGUUUUCUCCUUUGACAAGAUGUUGCAGAAUCGCGGCAGCACAGCCCUAUACCUACCCUAUGCUCUUACGCGCAUAUGCUAAAUUUCUCGCACCUAGCUAAAGUGCUUGACAAAAGCUGAAAUUAGUCGAGAACGCAGAACGUAU